AGAAACGGGAAAUUGCGGUACUGCAUUGACUGCGGUAUUGAGGAAAGUCCAGACUGCCACGACCUGUGAUGGUCGUAAUGUUCGUGCCCAUCGCAAGGUGGGGCAGAGUGAAUGCUCUGACGACGGCAAAAUCGACUCAUGUAGCCGAAAGUAGCCAUAAAGUGCACAGAGAAUGAGUAGGUUGGCAACAACCUAGUGAAAAUUGGUAAACUCCACGAGGCAGAAACCCAAAUUUGGUAGGGGAGCUUCCUGUAAGGAAUACGAACCGAAGGGAAGAACGCGCUUUUGUGCGUUAGAUAGAUGAUUUCCUAAAACAGAAACUGGCUUACGGUU
Molecule: RNase P RNA, 333 nt
Filed under: Sporomusa sp. An4
Lineage: Bacteria; Bacillati; Bacillota; Negativicutes; Selenomonadales; Sporomusaceae
Description: Bacterial RNase P class B
Rfam family: Bacterial RNase P class B
About the family: Ribonuclease P (RNase P) is a ubiquitous endoribonuclease, found in archaea, bacteria and eukarya as well as chloroplasts and mitochondria. Its best characterised activity is the generation of mature 5'-ends of tRNAs by cleaving the 5'-leader elements of precursor-tRNAs. Cellular RNase Ps are ribonucleoproteins.
Source: Rfam by way of RNAcentral